CAAUCAACAUCUCCUUAUGAAUACACUGUUACAUCCUAAAAUGAACAAAGGAAGAAAGAUAAACGCAUCAGCCAAAGUGGCUGUCCAGCUCUGACACAGCCACUGAGCCUGACACACAUCGUUGUUGGCAGCAGCGCAAAUUAGUGCUCCAGUGACAGCCACCCCGUGGCAGAAAUGCCUUUGCAAGUUAGGAUGCUCAGAGAUCUGUAAGCCUGGGGAAAGCACAGCCUGGAGAGAUGGAGCCGUGGCAAGCCGAGAGAGGUGAGGACAACUGGAAAACCCGACAAGAAACAUCAAAAGAGAAAUAUGAAGCUGAGAUUUGAAAAGACUGAGAUGGGGGGGAAUUUCAGAUAUCCUGUCAAUGAAGGGAGGAGCCUUUGGUCAUUCCAGUGGUUCAACAAACUUCUGUGGCUACCUUGGUAUGUUCUUACUUGUUUCCUCAUGUCCAUUUCUUCUGUUGUAAGCAUCCUCCAAGGAUCAGGUUUGGUUACUAUCAGACUACAAGGCCAUGGCUGGCUUGUAAAUUUGUCAUGAAGAAGAUGAGAAUAACAUCAGUUCAUCUGAUUGCCAUAUCUAUGAUCUGUAGAUCCUGGGAUUGUGUAUUCUAGUAUCUGGGCAUAUACAGGUUGAUAUGACAGACAGACUCAUGAGACAAGGGAGGAUUGGCUUAAAAACCAGAUAAAACAGUUGUGGUUACUAUGGAAACACAUCUCUCUCUUGGUCCUUCUGCAUACCAGCACAAAGUUUCUUUCUGAGGCCUUUUAUAGAUCUAAUCUCCUUUUCCUACUAGCGUAAACCACAAUGAUUUCAUUCACAGUAUGUAAUUUUGCUGACACCAGUAGGUGUUUUCUACAGUCCAUCUUCUUUUUGUUAAUCCAUGCUACUUGUAACCUGAAUGAUGUUGAUUUUUAGGAAGUGUAGGUACAUUUCAGGAAAUGUAAUAAACCACAGAAAAAACACA
RNAcentral lists this long non-coding RNA (961 nucleotides) under Anas platyrhynchos platyrhynchos (common mallard). RNAcentral's name for it is "lncRNA (ENSAPLG00000024035.1)". The record is from RNAcentral. Lineage: Eukaryota; Metazoa; Chordata; Aves; Anseriformes; Anatidae.